RNAcentral lists this ribosomal RNA (837 nucleotides) under uncultured archaeon. RNAcentral's name for it is "bacterial SSU rRNA". It matches the Rfam family "Archaeal small subunit ribosomal RNA", at positions 21 to 859 of the family's 1478-position model. The record is from RNAcentral.
GGUUACUGCUAUCGGUGUUCGCCUAAGCCAUGCGAGUCAUAUGUUCUUCGGAACAUGGCGUACUGCUCAGUAACACGUGGAUAACCUGCCCUUGGGUCCGGCAUAACCCCGGGAAACUGGGGAUAAUUCCGGAUAACGCACAUAUGCUGGAAUGCUUUAUGCGUCAAAUGGAUUCGUCCGCCCAAGGAUGGGUCUGCGGCCUAUCAGGUAGUAGUGGGUGUAAUGUACCUACUAGCCUACGACGGGUACGGGUUGUGAGAGCAAGAGCCCGGAGAUGGAUUCUGAGACAUGAAUCCAGGCCCUACGGGGCGCAGCAGGCGCGAAAACUUUACAAUGCGGGAAACCGUGAUAAGGGGACACCGAGUGCCAGCAUCAUAUGCUGGCUGUCCGGGUGUGUAAAAUACACCUGUUAGCAAGGGCCGGGCAAGACCGGUGCCAGCCGCCGCGGUAACACCGGCGGCCCGAGUGGUGAUCGUGAUUAUUGGGUCUAAAGGGUCCGUAGCCGGUUUGGUCAGUCCUCCGGGAAAUCUGACGGCUUAACCGUUAGGCUUUCGGGGGAUACUGCCAGACUUGGUACCGGGAGAGGUAAGAGGUACUACAGGGGUAGGAGUGAAAUCUUGUAAUCCCUGUGGGACCACCUGUGGCGAAGGCGUCUUACCAGAACGGGUUCGACGGUGAGGGACGAAAGCUGGGGGCACGAACCGGAUUAGAUACCCGGGUAGUCCCAGCCGUAAACGAUGCUCGCUAGGUGUCAGGCAUGGCGCGACCGUGUCUGGUGCCGCGGGGAAGCCGUGAAGCGAGCCACCUGGGAAGUACGGCCGCAAGGCUGAAACUUAA